UGGGGAAUUUUGGACAAUGGGCGAAAGCCUGAUCCAGCAAUGCCGCGUGCGUGAAGAAGGCCUUCGGGUUGUAAAGCACUUUUGUCCGGAAAGAAAUCCUUGGCUCUAAUACAGUCGGGGGAUGACGGUACCGGAAGAAUAAGCACCGGCUAACUACGUGCCAGCAGCCGCGGUAAUACGUAGGGUGCAAGCGUUAAUCGGAAUUACUGGGCGUAAAGCGUGCGCAGGCGGUUUGCUAAGACCGAUGUGAAAUCCCCGGGCUCAACCUGGGAACUGCAUUGGUGACUGGCAGGCUAGAGUAUGGCAGAGGGGGGUAGAAUUCCACGUGUAGCAGUGAAAUGCGUAGAGAUGUGGAGGAAUACCGAUGGCGAAGGCAGCCCCCUGGGCCAAUACUGACGCUCAUGCACGAAAGCGUGGGGAGCAAACAGGAUUAGAUACCCUGGUAGUCCCACGCCCUAAACGAUGUCAACUAGUUGUUGGGGAUUCAUUUCCUUAGUAACGUAGCUAACGCGUGAAGUUGACCGCCUGGGGAGUACGGUCGCAAGAUU
RNAcentral lists this ribosomal RNA (548 nucleotides) under uncultured bacterium. Its description in RNAcentral is "partial 16S ribosomal RNA". It matches the Rfam family "Bacterial small subunit ribosomal RNA", at positions 355 to 895 of the family's 1533-position model. The record is from RNAcentral.